Long non-coding RNA from Oncorhynchus nerka (sockeye salmon), 272 nucleotides. RefSeq lists it as uncharacterized. The transcript is spliced from 3 exons. Lineage: Eukaryota; Metazoa; Chordata; Actinopteri; Salmoniformes; Salmonidae. The record is from RefSeq and is a predicted model, not a curated record.
GAUUUCAAUCUGUUCUCUUUCUUCUCUGCUUUGUUUUUCAGUGGAGUGCUUUGAGAACAAACAACAGUACUUUGCUAACAGACUGGGCGAAGCCAUGAAGGGUAAAAGUGCCAAGGAGAAGGUGGUGACCAGGAUCGUCGUGUCUCGCUGUGAGGUGGACCUCAUGAAGAUCAGGACAGAGUUUAAGAAACUGAACCAGAAGUCCUUGUACCAGACCAUCGCUGAGCACACUAAAGGAGACUAUCAGAAGGUCCUGCUGAGUCUGUGUGAGG